This 899-nucleotide ribosomal RNA is filed under the name uncultured archaeon. RNAcentral describes it as "bacterial SSU rRNA". It matches the Rfam family "Archaeal small subunit ribosomal RNA", at positions 1 to 878 of the family's 1478-position model. The record is from RNAcentral.
CUCCCGUUGAUCCUGCCGGACCCGACUGCUAUCGGAUUGAGAUUUAGCCAUGCGAGUCGAACGUCCCCCUGUUGCGGGGGGCGUGGCGUACGGCUCAGUAACACGUAGUCAACCUGCCCUGGAGACAAGGACAACCCCGGGAAACUGGGAUUAAUCCUUGAUAGGUCAUCUCAUCUGGAAGGAGAGAUGGCUUAAAGGGGUACGCGGGCUUCUUCCGCGAAUUCGCUCCAGGAUGGGACUGCGUCCGAUCAGGCUGUUGGCGGGGUAAUGGCCCACCAAACCUGUAACCGGUACGGGCCUUGAGAGAGGUGGCCCGGAGAUGGACACUGAGAGAAGGGUCCAGGUCCUACGGGGCGCAGCAGGCGCGAAACCUUCGCAAUGCGCGAAAGCGUGACGAGGUUAAUCCGAGUGAUUUCCGCUGAGGAGAUCUUUUGUCAGCUGUAAAUAGGCAGGCGAAUAAGGGGAGGGCAAGCCUGGUGUCAGCCGCCGCGGUAAUACCAGCUCCUCGAGUGGUCGGGGCGAUUAUUGGGCCUAAAGCAUCCGUAGCCGGUUCCGUAGGUCCUCUGUUAAAUCCAACCGCUUAACGGUUGACCUGCAGAGGAUACCGCGGGACUAGGAGGCGGGAGAGGCGGACGGUAUUCCGCGUGUAGGGGUAAAAUCCUUUGAUCCGCGGAGGACCACCAGUGGCGAAGGCGGUCCACCAGAACGCGCUCGACGGUGAGGGAUGAAAGCUGGGGGAGCGAACCGGAUUAGAUACCCGGGUAGUCCCAGCCGUAAACGAUGCUAGCUAGAUGAUUCAUUCGCAAGUCGCGAAUGAAGUGUCGCAGGGAAGCCGUUAAGCUAGCCGCCUGGGGAGUACGGUCGCAAGGCUGAAACUUAAAGAAUUUGGCGGGGGAGCA